Molecule: ribosomal RNA, 253 nt
Filed under: uncultured bacterium
Lineage: Bacteria
Description: partial 16S ribosomal RNA
Rfam family: Bacterial small subunit ribosomal RNA
Source: RNAcentral
UACGUAGGCAGCGAGCGUUGUUCGGAAUUACUGGGCGUAAAGAGUGUGUAGGCGGUGCUCUAAGUUCGGUGUGAAAUCUCCCGGCUUAACUGGGAGGGUGCGCCGGAAACUGGAGUGCUCGAGCGUGGGAGAGGAAAGCGGAAUUCCUGGUGUAGCGGUGAAAUGCGUAGAUAUCAGGAAGAACACCCGUGGCUAAGGCGGCUCUCUAGUACGGUACUGACGCUGAGACGCGAAAGCGUGGGGAGCGAACAGG